RNAcentral lists this ribosomal RNA (806 nucleotides) under uncultured bacterium. RNAcentral describes it as "bacterial SSU rRNA". It matches the Rfam family "Bacterial small subunit ribosomal RNA", at positions 8 to 796 of the family's 1533-position model. The record is from RNAcentral.
AGAGUUUGAUCCUGGCUCAGGAUGAACGCUGGCGGCGUGCCUAAUACAUGCAAGUCGAGCGAACAGAUAAGGAGCUUGCUCCUUUGACGUUAGCGGCGGACGGGUGAGUAACACGUGGGUAACCUACCUAUAAGACUGGAAUAACUCCGGGAAACCGGGGCUAAUGCCGGAUAACAUUUAGAACCGCAUGGUUCUAAAGUGAAAGAUGGUUUUGCUAUCACUUAUAGAUGGACCCGCGCCGUAUUAGCUAGUUGGUAAGGUAACGGCUUACCAAGGCAACGAUACGUAGCCGACCUGAGAGGGUGAUCGGCCACACUGGAACUGAGACACGGUCCAGACUCCUACGGGAGGCAGCAGUAGGGAAUCUUCCGCAAUGGGCGAAAGCCUGACGGAGCAACGCCGCGUGAGUGAUGAAGGUCUUCGGAUCGUAAAACUCUGUUAUUAGGGAAGAACAAAUGUGUAAGUAACUAUGCACGUCUUGACGGUACCUAAUCAGAAAGCCACGGCUAACUACGUGCCAGCAGCCGCGGUAAUACGUAGGUGGCAAGCGUUAUCUGGAAUUAUUGGGCGUAAAGCGCGCGUAGGCGGUUUCUUAAGUCUGAUGUGAAAGCCCACGGCUCAACCGUGGAGGGUCAUUGGAAACUGGGAAACUUGAGUGCAGAAGAGGAAAGUGGAAUUCCAUGUGUAGCUGUGAAAUGCGCAGAGAUAUGGAGGAACACCAGUGGCGAAGGCGACUUUCUGGUCUGUAACUGACGCUGAUGUGCGAAAGCGUGGGGAUCAAACAGGAUUAGAUACCCUGGUAGUCC